GACGAACGCUGGCGGCGUGCUUAACACAUGCAAGUCGAACGGAAAGGCCCUGCUUUUGUGGGGUGCUCGAGUGGCGAACGGGUGAGUAACACGUGAGUAACCUGCCCUUGACUUUGGGAUAACUUCAGGAAACUGGGGCUAAUACCGGAUAGGAGCUCCUGCUGCAUGGUGGGGGUGGGAAAGUUUCGGCGGUUGGGGAUGGACUCGCGGCUUAUCAGCUUGUUGGUGGGGUAGUGGCUUACCAAGGCUUUGCCGGGUUGCCGGCCUGAGAGGGUGACCGGCCACAUUGGGACUGAGAUACGGCCCAGACUCCUACGGGAGGCAGCAGUGGGGAAUAUUGUACAAUGGGCGGAAGCCUGAUGCAGCAACGCCGCGUGCGGGAUGACGGCCUUCGGGUUGUAAACCGCUUUCGCCUGUGACGAAGCGUGAGUGACGGUAAUGGGUAAAGAAGCACCGGCUAACUACGUG
This 468-nucleotide ribosomal RNA is filed under the name uncultured bacterium. RNAcentral's name for it is "partial 16S ribosomal RNA". It matches the Rfam family "Bacterial small subunit ribosomal RNA", at positions 28 to 507 of the family's 1533-position model. The record is from RNAcentral.